CCGUCCCGGCCCUUGCAGCUGCCCCCCUGUGCCGAGCUGUGGCGGGGGGGUGUCCGGGCGGGACACACAGUAACCCUAACCCUCUCCAUUUAGGAGGGCCCCCCCGAGGCUGGGGGUGGUCCUUAAAGGCAAGAGAGGACAAA
Non-coding RNA from Ornithorhynchus anatinus (platypus), 143 nucleotides. The record is from Rfam. Lineage: Eukaryota; Metazoa; Chordata; Mammalia; Monotremata; Ornithorhynchidae.